RNAcentral lists this long non-coding RNA (6958 nucleotides) under Daucus carota (carrot). RNAcentral describes it as "long non-coding RNA (DCAR_LNC001136)". Lineage: Eukaryota; Viridiplantae; Streptophyta; Magnoliopsida; Apiales; Apiaceae. The record is from RNAcentral.
AACAAAUCUAGAUCGUAGUACAAAUGUCCCUAAGGGAUGCAUGGCAGUUUAUGUUGGGGAGAACCAAAGAAGAAGAUUUGUAGUUCCGAUCUCUUACUUAAAUGAGCCUACGUUCCAAGACCUGUUAAGUCAAGCUGAGGAAGAAUUUGGGUUUAGUCAUCCAGAAGGCGGCCUCACAAUACCAUGCAAAGAAGACACCUUCAUUGAUCUCUUGAACAGAUUAUGAGAGUUUAUAUAUAUGUGUACAGAUACAAACAUAGAGAUAUGUUCUUAGAUAGUUUGCAAAUUUUGUGAACUAGUCCAGACAUUUUAUAUAUGACUGAGACUUUCGAUGUAAAUCUUUUUGGCAUCAGUUAAUACACUAAAUUGUUCUUUCUUGCAGAAUUUUUGUAAAUUGGUUCUUAUCUCAAAUACGUUUACUAGCAAAUUUCGUUUUUCAGUAUGGUUAAAGACUUAAAGAUAUCAAUCUUAAUCUGUUAACGAAAAAAACACCUUAAAAUUUGAAUUUCUGAUCUCUGAGGCUGAAUGUGAAAUUGUUAGGGUAGUUUUUGUUAAUUUCUUAUAAAAUUUUAUGUACGCUAUUUAUUUUAAUUUUUAUUAGAUUAGAAGGCUCGUAAGGAAAAUUACAAAAUUUUAACUUAAUUUGUUGAAAAGCCGGAAUACAAUGGGAUCUUCGGAAGGUUGAUCAUCACGAGUCUUACGAUGAUUUUGAUUGGGUAGGUCAACAACAAAAGAUUUCAUUCUUUCGAAAGCACUACCGAGACCCGAUACUUAAUGCGUUAGCUACAACAUUGCACACGUUGAUACACAAAGCGGUAACUAAUACCCCCUGUAGGCUAAGGAGCAGAAGGAGUAUUCGUGAUAAUAAAUGACUUGUAUAGGUUAAACUAUGCCUGAGAUAUAUUUAUAAAUCAGUUAGAACUGCUUAUAAAUAUAAAUUUUGAUUAAGAGUUAGCAAAAUCACCUUGUGUCGAGGCUGAUUUAUCAAGACAAUUGCAAGAUUUCCUUUGUUUUGGAUGUUACCAACAUAAGCAGCCAUUUGGAAUUGCUAAAAGUGGCGGCCUUUUGUGUCAGUGAUUUGUUUAAGGCAUAAAGUUUAUCAUGAGACACUUAGUAUUUUGCUGUAGAGAAAUUAAAGUAUCUAUGACAAUAAGUGAUGGUCAAUAUGUUCAAAAAAAUCGAGUAUCAAAUUUUGCUUUCCCUCCAAAAAAAUAUAUAUANUAUAUGUUCUGCAAUUUACACUCAGAAACUCAUCAAAUGAGAUCGGAGGUGCUAUACUAUCUACAAGUAUAUAAAUUGUUCAGGCGCGAAGUGAUUUCAAUGAAUGUGUCCACUGAGCAAGGAAUUGUAAGGCCUCCUUCUGGAUGAUCGAAUCCAAAUUUUUCCUCGGCUUGACUUGACAAAUCUUGAAAGGCAGGCUCAUUCAGGUAAGAAAUGGGUACCACAAAUCGGCUUCUUUGCCUCUCCCCAAUAUAAACUGCCAAGCACCCAUUUGGAAUCGUUGAAGUAAGAUCAGGAUUUAAUAAGAAAGGUGAGAGGUUAAGGAUUUGUUUGAGAUUAGUAAUAAUAAGUGUUCAUGUGACAGUGUUUCUUCCAGCUCCAAGUGAUAGUUUCACAUAAUGCAGCUUGACCAUUACAAAGAUGUUGGGUCCAUUUAAUCUGAUAAUCUGUUUCUAAGAGAUAUAUUCAUACAUUCACCUGGAGUUUUCUACUACAUGAUACAUCUAUUGAACAAAAGAAGCAGCUGAGAUAGGUCAAGAAAAUACCAUCACAUGAGCACCAAACUUGCCUGUCCCACCCAAAAGUAUUGACCAAUAAAAGCAUGAGAUAUGAUUCCUUGCCUGUCGAACACAUUCACCUGGAGUUUCCAGCCAUAAUAUGUAUGUCGAUGACCUUAGUAUGAACUCUCUUAUCUUCUCUAUAAUUAUAAAGCAAAAUUUAUAGAUAAGAAAAAAUCAGGUGAAGAAUUGUUCAACACAAGUGGUAGGACAAGAUGUCACUCACAGACAUACAAAUCCUACCCAUAGUCUCGAAAUGUGUAAAUAUUCAAAGAGAAUAGCAUGUGCUAAUGCCUAUUGCAUCUGCGUCAAUCCGCAUUUUGAUCAACAGAUCAAUUUUCUAUCAGUUCUAUAUAGACACUGUUGGAAAGUUAAGCAAAGUCAUUUCAGAAUUGAGUGUAUUCUAGUGUCGAAGCUUCAAUCUGCAGAAGUCCUUAUAAUUUCAUAUCCCCAACGUUUACCUGAAAACUUUAAUUUUUCAUUAGCGUCAUGGGUUUCUAAAAAAUAUUAUUCAUACAAGGAAUUACAUUGAUAAAUUAUUUAGAAGCUAACGUACAACCCGUGCUUCGCAUGAGCAAGUAUAUAAGUUUGUUUCUAUUACUGAAAUUUUAAUUGUUAUAGAAUUGAUGGAUAUUCAUGAAUUGUUUCUUCCAAUGGUAAAAAGGAGAAAAAUGUGCAAUUUUAGUUUGUUUUCAAAGUCCAAUUACAAAGAGCAGAUGUGUGAGAUGAGAGGUUUUUUCUCUGAAUGAUUAUCAAAAAGAUCUUCAGAGAAACAGAGUCUAGGUUUACAAUACUAGUCUGCAUAAUUUAGAGAUUUACUGCAGAUUUUAGCAUAAUAUGCAGAAUCUGGGGAUAUUUUGUUUUGCGAUAUGUCUGCAGAAUAUUCUGAAUACUAAAGUUUUUCCCAUUAGUCGGCAAUUUUUUUUUUGAUGCAUUUUUUUUUUGCAGAAUUUUAUUGCAUCAUUUGCUGUCAAGACUUAGUCAAUUUAUUAGUCAAUCUCAUAUUCUAUAUUCUCUGGAUGAAGUGUGCUAUGUUAAGAUUCCGAUAAAUAUAGCAGCAAACAACAAUGAAGUUCUUUUUUAUGUCCAAAAAAAAUAAAUAACAACGACGACGAUGAUUACACAGCUCUGACAACCAAGGGCUUAUUUAAUCAAGGAUGGUUGAAUGAAAACACUAUCGCAUGAGCACCUAACUUGUCUGUCCCAACUAAAACUCAAGACUUUCCAGCCAAUUAUUUGUAUGUCAUUUAAGUAGUAGGACAUGAUGUUUCUUAACAGACAUUUAAGUCCUACCAUAAGUCUUAAACAUAUGUGGCCAUUGAGAGAGAAUAGCAUGUGCUAAUGCCUAAUUCAUCUGUGCCACUCAAUCAAAUGUUCAAUUGUUCAAUACUACUUCCUAUGUGCUCUAUAAAACAGCUAUUUUAAACUCAACCAAAUUCAUCUCAUAAUCAAGUGUAUUCAAGUGUCCAAGCCUUCCAUCUGCAAAAGUCCUUGUAUUUCAAUAUCAGCAGAGUUUAUCCUGAAUACUUUUUUUUUAAGCAUAAUGGGUAUCCGCGUUCCUCGUAUCACCAGUCUCAAGCAAAUUCUAAACCGCCAAUUCUCCUCAACAAAUCUUGAUCGUAGUACAAGUUUCCCUAAGGGAUGCAUUGCAGUUUAUGUUGGUGAGAACCAAAGAAGAAGAUUUGUAGUUCCGAUCUCGUACUUAAGUGAGCCUACAUUUCAAGACCUGUUAAGUCGAGCUGAGGAAGAAUUUGAAUUUAGUCAUCCAGAAGGUGGCCUCACAAUCCCAUGCAAGGAAGACACCUUCAUUGAUCUCUUGAACAGAUUAUGAGGGUUUAUAUAUGUCUGCAGAUAUGUACAUACUGAUAUGUUGUUAGAUAGUUUUGUGAACUAGUCCAGACAUUUUAUAUUUGACUGAGACUUUCCAUGUAAAUCUUUUAGGCAUUAAUUAAUAAAUAAAAUCAUUCUUUCUUUUGACAAAAAAAAAAUUUAUUCUUUCUUGUAGAUUUUUUGUAAAUUGGUUCUAUCUCAAAUACUUUUAGUGAGCAAAUUGGUUAACAAUACCAAUCUUAGGUUGUGUUCACUUGGAUGGAAUGGAAUGGAAAAUUAUAUAGAAAUUUUAUGGAGAAAGAAGAAAGUAUGAGAUAAUAGUGACUAAAUAUGAAUGGGUUUAAAUAUCUUGUGAUAACGAUUGUAAGGAAACAUGAUGUAGAAAUGGAAUAACCAUUCCUUAUAAAACAUGUGGGCUAGAAUUCUAGUUAAAAUAGUAGCAAAGGAAUGAAAAUUAUGUACAUUUUCUCUAACCAACACUAUGUUAGAGACUUAGAGUACAAAAUUCAUUCCAUUCUCCCUUGUGUUCCAUUCCAUCCAAGUGAACACAAUCUUAGUAUUUUAAGGAAAAAAACCUUAAAACUUGAUACUAAUCUCUGAGGUAGAAUGUUAAAUUGUUAGGGUAGUUUCUGUUAACUUCUUAUAAAAUUUGCAUAUAAGGUAUUUUUUUAUUAAUAUUUAUUAGAUUGGAAAGCUUUGCAGGGAAAUUACAAAAUUUUAACUUCAUUUGUUGGAAAGCCAGAAUACAAUGGGAUCCUCGGAAGGUUGAUCAUCACGAGGUCUUACAAUGACUUUGAUUGGGAAGUUCAAUGACAACAGGUUUCAUUCUUGAAAAAUCACACUCAGACGGGAUCUUAACGUGUCAGCUACAGCAAUGCACAGGAGGUUGAUACGCACAUUACUAAUAAGUAAUAUCCCGUAGGCUGAGGAGCAAAAGGAGCAUUCAUGAUAAUAAAUGACUUAUAUAGAUUAACCAAUGCAGGAGAUAUAUUUAUAAAUUAGUUAGAACUGUUUAUAAAUAUAAAUUUUGAUUAAGAGCUUGCAAACUCACCUGGUGUCAGUGCUUACUUUUGAAGACGAUUGCAAGAUUCGGGUAUGAAACAGUAACUACAAAUUUUCUUUGUUUUGGGUGUUCCCAAUAUAAGCAACCUGGAAUUGCUAAAAAUGGGGGCCUUAUGUGUUGGUGAUGUGUUUUAGGCUUAAAGUUUAUCAUCAGACACUUAGUGAUAUGCUUUAGAGAAAAUAACAAGUAUCUAUAAGCAUAAGUGAUGGUCAAUAUGUUCAAAAUUUGAGUAUCAAAUUAUGCUUUCCCUACAAAAUAUAUUUGAAAAAUCUGUAUGUUCUACAGUUUACACUCAGAAACUCAAUAAAUGAGAUCGGAGGUGCUAUACUAUCUACAAGUAUAUAGAUUGUUCAGGCGCGAAGUGAUUUCAUUGAAUGUGUCCACUGAGCAAGGAAUGGUAAGACCUCCUUCCGGAUGAUUGAAUCCAAAUUCUUCCUCGGCUUGACUUAACAAAUCUUGAAAGGCAGGCUCAUUCAGGUAUGAAAUGGGUACCACAAAUCGGCUUCUUUGCCUCUCCCCAAUAUAAACUGCCAAGCACCCCUUUGGAAUCGUUGAAGUAAGAUCAGGAUUUAAUAAGAAAGAUGAGCGGUUAAGGAUUUGUUUGAGAGUAGUAAUACGAGGCAUACGGAUACCCAUGACACUAUAGAUCUUUCAGAGAAGAAUUCAGGAAAGUGAAGAAAAACUGGGACUUGUAUAGUUUUAAGGAAAAGACUUUAGACCAGUGAGUUUGUGAUGAAUGUUAGUAUCGCUUAAUUAUGUGUUUAUAUAGAACAAUCAGAAGUUGUGUAGAACAUGUCAUCAAAUUGUACAUUGAGCGGUAAGUAGGCAUUAGACACUAGCACAUGCAGAUUUAACAUGAAGUUUUGAGUGGCAUGAUAUGGAUUUUAUGUUUUGGGUUUGUCUGCACUGAUUAUGGAGGGGUUGAAAUAAUAAGUGUUCAUGUGCCAUUGUUUUUUCCAGCUCCAAGUUGAUAUUUUCACAUAACGAAGCUAGACCAUGUCGAAGAUGUUGGGUCCAUUUAAUCUGAUAAUCUGUUUCAAAGAGAUAUAUUCAUACACUCACCUGGAGUUUUCUACUACAUGAUACAUCAAUUUAACAAAAGAUGCAGCUGAGAUAGGUCAAGAAAACACCAUCACAUGAGCACCAAACUUGCCUAUCCCACCUAGGACUAUUGACCAAUAAAAGCAUGAGAUUUGAUUUUUUGCCUGUCGAUAUAACAACUUGUAUGAUUCCCAGAGCAGAUAUGGGACAAACCAUUAUGAUCUGUUUCUUUCGUGGAUAUAACAACUUGUAUCAGGUGUUUCCUACUGCACAAAAAAUAAAUAGCUAGGAUAGGUGAAUGAAAACACUAUCACAUGAGCACCUAACUUGUCUGUCCCACCCAGAACUACUGACCACAAAAACUAACAACUUGAAUUUGCUACCUUGCUUGCCAGGCAAAUUAUUUGUACCGUGUUCAUAUCCGUAUAUAUUACGUUAUAGACUAUCAGUAGGACAUGAUGUCUCUCAGAAGACAUUCAAGUCCUAGCAUUACUCUUAAAUAUGUGUGGCCUUUGAAAGAGAAUAGCAUGUGCUAUUGCCUAAUGCAUCUGUUCCACUCAAUCUGCAUCUUCAUCACCCGCUCAUUACUUGUUAUUUCUAUAUAAAAACUGUGAUCUCCUCAACCAAAUUCAUCAAAAAAUCAAGUCUAAUUAAGGGUCUAAGCCUAGCAUCUGCAGAAGUUCUUUUAUUUUCCAUAUCCCCAGAGAUUAUCCGUCGAAUUUUCAAUUUUCCUUGAGCAUCAUGGGUAUUCGUGUGCCUCAUAUCACUAACCUCAAGCAAAUUCUCAACAGACAAUUUUCCUUGAAAAAUCUUGAUCGUAGUACAAAUGUCCCUAAGGGAUGUAUUGCAGUUUAUGUUGGGGAGGACCAAAGAAGAAGAUUUGUAGUUCCGAUCACUUACUUAAACGAGCCUACGUUCCAAGACCUGUUAAGUCAGGCUGAGGAAGAAUUCGGGUUUAGUCAUCCAGAAGGCGGCCUCACAAUUCCAUGCAAAGAAGACACCUUCAUUGAUAUCUUGAACAGAUUAUGAGAGUUUAUAUAUAUGUUGUUAGAUAGUGUGCAAAUUUUGUAAACUAGUCCAGAAAUUUUAUAUAUGACUCUGAUAUAAAUCUUUUAGGUAGGACAUUAGCUGAUACUUUGUAAUUUGAUUACAUCAAUUUCUACAUGGAUUUGAUCUCUGCAAUCAUUAUGUAGUCAUCACACAUCUUUAUAAGUACUUUUUAUUGUCAAUCACAAAUGUAAUUGUU